RNAcentral lists this ribosomal RNA (462 nucleotides) under uncultured bacterium. RNAcentral describes it as "SSU rRNA". It matches the Rfam family "Bacterial small subunit ribosomal RNA", at positions 26 to 523 of the family's 1533-position model. The record is from RNAcentral.
AGGAUGAACGCUGGCGGCGUGCCUAAUACAUGCAAGUCGAGCGGUAAGGCCACUUCGGUGGUACACGAGCGGCGGGCGGCUGAGUAACACGUAGGAACGUACCCCAAACUGAGGGAUAAGCACCAGAAAAUGGUGUCUAAUACCGCAUGUGCUCUUCGGAGUAAAGCUACGGCGGUUUGGGAACGGCCUGCGCAAGAUUAGCUUGUUGGUGAGGUAAUAGCUCACCAAGGCGACGAUCUUUAGCUGGUCUGAGAGGAUGACCAGCCAGACUGGAACUGAGAACGGUCCAGACUCCUACGGGAGGCAGCAGUAGGGAAUUUUCCACAAUGGACGAAAGUCUGAUGGAGCAACGCCGCGUGCAGGAUGAAGGCCUUAGGGUUGUAAACUGCUUUUAUCUGUGACGAAUAUGACGGUAGCAGAUGAAUAAGGAUCGGCUAACUCCGUGCCAGCAGCCGACGGUAA